UACGGAGGGGGCGAGCGUUAUUCGGAAUUAUUGGGCGUAAAGGGCAUGUAGGCGGCUUCGUGUGUCUCUUGUGAAAGCCCUCGGCUCAACUGAGGAAUUGCAAGGGAAACUACGGAGCUUGAGUCCGGGAGAGGAGAGUGGAAUUCCCAGUGUAGCGGUGAAAUUCGUAGAUAUUCGGAAGAACACCAGUGGCGAAGGCGACUUACUGGACACAUAUUGACGCUGAGGUGCGAAAGCGUGGGGAGCAAACAGG
This 253-nucleotide ribosomal RNA is filed under the name uncultured bacterium. RNAcentral describes it as "partial 16S ribosomal RNA". It matches the Rfam family "Bacterial small subunit ribosomal RNA", at positions 524 to 776 of the family's 1533-position model. The record is from RNAcentral.